AUAAGCGGAGGAAAAGAAACCAACCGGGAUUGCCUCAGUAACGGCGAGUGAAGCGGCAAGAGCUCAAAUUUGAAAGCUGGCUCCUUCGGGGUCCGCAUUGUAAUUUGCAGAGGAUGCUUCGGGUGCGGCCCCUGUCUAAGUGCCCUGGAACGGGCCGUCAGAGAGGGUGAGAAUCCCGUCUGGGAUGGGGUGUCCGCGCCCGUGUGAAGCUCCUUCGACGAGUCGAGUUGUUUGGGAAUGCAGCUCUAAAUGGGUGGUAAAUUUCAUCUAAAGCUAAAUACUGGCCGGAGACCGAUAGCGCACAAGUAGAGUGAUCGAAAGAUGAAAAGCACUUUGAAAAGAGAGUUAAAAAGCACGUGAAAUUGUUGAAAGGGAAGCGCUUGCGACCAGACUCGCCUCCAGGGUUCAGCCGGCAUUCGUGCCGGUGUACUUCCCUGGGGGCGGGCCAGCGUCGGUUUGGGCGGCCGGUCAAAGGCUCCCGGAAUGUAGUGCCCUCCGGGGCACCUUAUAGCCGGGAGUGCAAUGCGGCCAGCCUGGACCGAGGAACGCGCUUCGGCACGGACGCUGGCAUAAUGGUCGUAAACGACCCGUCUUGAAACACGGACCAAGGAGUCUAACAUCUACGCGAGUGUUCGGGUGUCAAACCCGUACGCGCAGUGAAAGCGAACGGAGGUGGGAGCCCCCUCGUGGGGCGCACCAUCGACCGAUCCUGAUGUCUUCGGAUGGAUUUGAGUAAGAGCGUAAAUGUGGGGACCCGAAAGAUGGUGAACUAUGCCUGAAUAGGGCGAAGCCAGAGGAAACUCUGGUGGAGGCUCGCAGCGGUUCUGACGUGCAAAUCGAUCGUCAAAUUUGGGUAUAGGGGCGAAAGACUAAUCGAACCAUCUAGUAGCUGGUUCCUGCCGAUUU
Molecule: ribosomal RNA, 906 nt
Filed under: Aspergillus oryzae var. brunneus
Lineage: Eukaryota; Fungi; Ascomycota; Eurotiomycetes; Eurotiales; Aspergillaceae
Description: LSU rRNA
Rfam family: Eukaryotic large subunit ribosomal RNA
Source: RNAcentral